GAUAUACCAGAUCGGAUCUAUUUCACAAAGAAAAUGCUAAAUAACCUUAUAACGUGGGGCAGCUUCUGCCCCCAACGGAUCCAGAAUGUACUAUUACACAGCAUUCAUGUGCACUUUACUGCCCCAAAUCAAAUAUUUCUACUGGUAAGUGUUGUCAUCAACAAUGUUCAAACUGGAGUGAAUCGUUUGCAGAGAAAAAAUACGGUUUCAGAUUGCAAGGUACCUCAUACAUGUUUCAAGCUCAUGCUCAAGGCUACUUGACACCGUGGUACUAGAUGAAAUACAACUGCAUACAUCUUUUGCCCAGAUGAUUUAAAAAAAAUAAUGUUUUUGCAACAAAUACACAUUUAUCGCCAAUGUCAGGACGUGUGGUAUUAAAUUUAAAUGCUCUAUCAAACACUGGGCUAUUUCUCGUUCCAGCCAGUGCACCACGACUGGUAUAUCAAAGGCCAUGGUAUGUACUACCCUCUCUGU
This 474-nucleotide unclassified non-coding RNA is filed under the name Gigantopelta aegis. RNAcentral's name for it is "uncharacterized LOC121384310, transcript variant X1". Lineage: Eukaryota; Metazoa; Mollusca; Gastropoda; Neomphalida; Peltospiridae. The record is from RNAcentral.